Long non-coding RNA from Neodiprion virginianus, 618 nucleotides. RefSeq lists it as uncharacterized. The transcript is spliced from 3 exons. Lineage: Eukaryota; Metazoa; Arthropoda; Insecta; Hymenoptera; Diprionidae. The record is from RefSeq and is a predicted model, not a curated record.
UUCGUCGCGACUCUCCACGUGUGACGCGCUUCGAUGAUUCCGACGGUAGCAGGGAACCGGGGAUCUCACUUUUCCUUCCACCAACAAACAUGCGAUACUCCUGUUACUUUUGAUGCGAGUGAGAGAAUAAAAAGCAUCCAACUACGUUGUACAAUUCAAGCGUCGGCGAUUUCACUUGUACUCUUUUGUACUUCUAGAAUAGGGAAUAUGAGAUUUUGAUAUACGGACAGCAUUUUAUGCACGCCAGAGCACCGGAUACCGUAAGCUCACAUGAAACGCAAUUGACUUACAGCAAAGGAUAGAAGAAUCAUUCCUUUUAGUCAUUUCACGUUAUUAUCCGAUGGAAUUUAUGCGUAUAUGUAUUUCAAUCGCAUGAUCGUCGGAAUUCUAUCGUUAUGGAUCAGCCGUGCCUAUUACGUUUAUGCCGUUCCUCGGCGAUCGAGUUCGCGAUCGGUGAAGCUACAGGUUGCAGCGGGCCCUUCCAAAUAAGACUAUUAUAGUUGUCAGGGUCAAGGACCUGAACUGUACAGACUACACGGAAGAGUUUGAUGAAAGUUUGAAACUACGGACAAACGAUCAUGAAAGAAUACCAAGUUAUAUUCCCUCCUCUAAUCCUCU